Molecule: microRNA precursor, 102 nt
Filed under: Picea abies (Norway spruce)
Lineage: Eukaryota; Viridiplantae; Streptophyta; Pinopsida; Pinales; Pinaceae
Description: miR11425e stem-loop (pab-MIR11425e)
Source: miRBase by way of RNAcentral
GUAAAAGUGCCAGAAGGAAAAGAUAUAGCAGUCAAAGUUCUCUCAUUGUUCUCCAAACAAGUGAACUUUUACUGCUAUAUCUUUUCCUUCUUGCAAUUUUAC